Molecule: ribosomal RNA, 439 nt
Filed under: uncultured bacterium
Lineage: Bacteria
Description: partial 16S ribosomal RNA
Rfam family: Bacterial small subunit ribosomal RNA
Source: RNAcentral
CUACGGGUCGCUGCAGUGGGGAAUAUUGCACAAUGGAGGGAACUCUGAUGCAGCAACGCCGCGUGGAGGAUGACGCAUUUCGGUGUGUAAACUCCUUUUAUAUAGGAAGAUAAUGACGGUACUAUAUGAAUAAGCACCGGCUAACUCCGUGCCAGCAGCCGCGGUAAUACGGAUGGUGCAAGCGUUACUCGGAAUCACUGGGCGUAAAGCGCAUGCAGGCGGUUAAAUAAGUUGGAAGUGAAAUCCUAUGGCUCAACCAUAGAACUGCUUCCAAAACUGUUUAACUAGAGUCUGGGAGGGGAAGAUGGAAUUAGUAGUGUAGGGGUAAAAUCCGUAGAGAUUACUAGGAAUACCAAAAGCGAAGGCGAUCUUCUGGAACAGUACUGACGCUGAGAUGCGAAAGCGUGGGGAGCAAACAGGAUUAGAUACCCUCGUAGUC